Molecule: non-coding RNA, 305 nt
Organism: Pantherophis guttatus
Lineage: Eukaryota; Metazoa; Chordata; Lepidosauria; Squamata; Colubridae
Source: RefSeq, a predicted model, not a curated record
UUCCAGCUAAUAUAAAGCAAAGCAUCUCAGUACGAAGAUGUACACCAAUUCACCAACUGCAACUGUCGAGAAUAAAAUCCACACACACACCUCCAACACUUUCUCUUUCUGGCUUCCAUAAUUUCUUCCUAAUGUUUGACCAAGUGGAAGAUGCUACUUUCUUCUGAGAAGGGCUCCAGCUAAUAUUUCUUUUUGUUGAUUUGAGGACACUUUCUCUUCAUUGUGAAUACUGCUUAACACUGGUUUUCUCUAACCCCCCCCCCCGCAAAAAAAACAUUUGCAAAUAAAUAUGUUCAGCAUUAUAA